This 71-nucleotide transfer RNA is filed under the name Ophidion marginatum (striped cusk-eel). RNAcentral's name for it is "tRNA-Gln". It matches the Rfam family "tRNA". Rfam says of the family: Transfer RNA (tRNA) molecules are approximately 80 nucleotides in length. Their secondary structure includes four short double-helical elements and three loops (D, anti-codon, and T loops). Lineage: Eukaryota; Metazoa; Chordata; Actinopteri; Ophidiiformes; Ophidiidae. The record is from RNAcentral.
UAGAGAGUGGUGUAUUGGAGGCACUAAGAGCUUUGAUCUCUUAAGGAUGGGUUCGAGUCCCAUCUCUCUAA